This 529-nucleotide ribosomal RNA is filed under the name uncultured bacterium. RNAcentral describes it as "bacterial SSU rRNA". It matches the Rfam family "Bacterial small subunit ribosomal RNA", at positions 777 to 1304 of the family's 1533-position model. The record is from RNAcentral.
AAUAGAUACCCGGGUAGUCCACGCCGUAAACGAUGAGUGCUAAGUGUUAGAGGGUUUCCGCCCUUUAGUGCUGCAGCUAACGCAUUAAGCACUCCGCCUGGGGAGUACGGUCGCAAGACUGAAACUCAAAGGAAUUGACGGGGGCCCGCACAAGCGGUGGAGCAUGUGGUUUAAUUCGAAGCAACGCGAAGAACCUUACCAGGUCUUGACACCCCACUGACCGGUAUAGAGAUAUACCUUUCCCUUCGGGGACAGUGGUGACAGGUGGUGCAUGGUUGUCGUCAGCUCGUGUCGUGAGAUGUUGGGUUAAGUCCCGCAACGAGCGCAACCCUUGAUCUUAGUUGCCAGCAUUUAGUUGGGCACUCUAAGGUGACUGCCGGUGACAAACCGGAGGAAGGUGGGGAUGACGUCAAAUCAUCAUGCCCCUUAUGACCUGGGCUACACACGUGCUACAAUGGAUGGUACAAAGGGCUGCAAGACUGCGAAGUCAAGCCAAUCCCAUAAAACCAUUCUCAGUUCGGAUUGCAGG